UACGGAGGGUGCAACCGUUGCUCGGAAUCAUUGGGCGUAAAGAGCUCGUAGGCGGCUUGAUAAGUCGGAUGUGAAACCUCCAGGCUCAACCUGGAGUCGCCAUCCGAUACUGUCAUGGCUAGAGUCCGGUAGGGGCCCACGGAAUUCCUGGUGUAGCGGUGAAAUGCGCAGAUAUCAGGAGGAACACCGGUGGCGAAGGCGGUGGGCUGGGCCGGCACUGACGCUGAGGAGCGAAAGCGUGGGGAGCGAACAGG
This 254-nucleotide ribosomal RNA is filed under the name uncultured bacterium. Its description in RNAcentral is "partial 16S ribosomal RNA". It matches the Rfam family "Bacterial small subunit ribosomal RNA", at positions 524 to 776 of the family's 1533-position model. The record is from RNAcentral.